CGAAGAACCUUACCAGGCCUUGACACGCAGAGAACUUUCCAGAGAUGGAUUGGUGCCUUCGGGAACUCUGACACAGGUGCUGCAUGGCUGUCGUCAGCUCGUGUCGUGAGGUGUGGGUUAAGUCCCGUAACGAGCGCAACCCUUGUCCUUAGUUACCAGCACGUUAUGGUGGGCACUCUAAGGAGAACUGCCGGUGGACAAACCGGAGGAAGGUGGGGAUGACGUCAAGUCAUCAUGGCCCUUACGGCCUGGGCUACACACGUGCUACAAUGGUCGGUACAAAGGGUUGCCAAGCCGCGAGGUGGAGCUAAUCCCAUAAAACCGAUCGUAGUCCGGAUCGCAGUCUGCAACUCGACUGCGUGAAGUCGGAAUCGCUAGUAAUCGUGAAUCAGAAUGUCACGGUGAAUACGUUCCCGGGCCUU
This 422-nucleotide ribosomal RNA is filed under the name uncultured Pseudomonas sp. RNAcentral's name for it is "bacterial SSU rRNA". It matches the Rfam family "Bacterial small subunit ribosomal RNA", at positions 962 to 1382 of the family's 1533-position model. Lineage: Bacteria; Pseudomonadati; Pseudomonadota; Gammaproteobacteria; Pseudomonadales; Pseudomonadaceae. The record is from RNAcentral.